GUGCUCGCUUCAGCAGCACAUAUACUAAAAUUGGAACCAUACAGAGAAGAUUAGCAUGGCCCCUGUGCAAGGACGACAUGCAAAUUUGUGAAGCAUUCCAUAUUUUU
This 107-nucleotide small nuclear RNA is filed under the name Jaculus jaculus (lesser Egyptian jerboa). The record is from RNAcentral. Lineage: Eukaryota; Metazoa; Chordata; Mammalia; Rodentia; Dipodidae.